Molecule: non-coding RNA, 1074 nt
Organism: Crotalus tigris (Tiger rattlesnake)
Lineage: Eukaryota; Metazoa; Chordata; Lepidosauria; Squamata; Viperidae
Source: the annotation of a RefSeq genome assembly
CAGAUCUCAUAUCCCCAGAAAGCUUGAGCAUGAAGCCACCCACAAGACUGUGGCUGGGCUGUCACUUUCCUGUGUUUCUGGUGACAGAGUUGUCCUGCUUGCUGCAGAGAAAGAAGAAUGGGAGAUCUGAGGAGCAGGAUCAUUGCCUUGCUGCUGGCCAUCUCCACAGGUGUCCAAUGCCAGGACCGAGUGGAUCAGGAGCCUGUAGAAGUUAUCAAAGAAGGAGAUGACUCCACCCUCACCUGUCAGUUCACCUCCACCAAUGUCUAUGGAAUGCAUUGGUAUAGGCAAUAUCCAGAAAAAGUACCUGUAUUUCUCCUAACAGUUACAUUGGUGGAAUUGGAAAAGAAGGAACAUUUCAUUGCCUCUUUUGACAAGCAAAAGAAGGAGAGUCAGUUAAACAUCACAAAGGUGCAGAUGAAAGAUGCUGCUGUCUAUUUCUGUGGGGCCCAAGAUCACAGCAAUAUAGAGACACCUGCUGUCUGUACAAAAACCCUCUAAGGCUGAGCAAUUCUGUGCAGGGAAAAUGAAUCUCAGCUGUGGAACUGGAAUGCAGAAUUGGACCAGAUGACCCAAAACAAGCCACAUGUGGACACAGCAUGCAUUGUUAUCAACUAGAAAGUGAAUCAAAGUAUUCCAGAGUUUUGCAAGAAAGAAGGAAUAUACCAGGUGAACAUUCCCACCACUGGCAAGGCUCAAGGACAUCGGGGGAUCCUUGUGGAUAAAGGUUUGGUUUUGCCAAACCAAAACAUGGGAUUAUCCUACAGAGAGUGGGAAGUACUGUCAUUUAUUGAAGGCAAUGAACCAAAGUUUGGGCGUGGCAGAAUUGCAUAGAAAAAAAAUCAGGUCCAGAUAAUCUGACACUCCAAAACUUGGAAAUAUUUGUGGCUCCAUUGGAAUGCGUAAAUCAGACCACCCCAUUUUGGGUGGCAGAGAAAUGGACUAUUUUAGGUCUGGAAGAAAAUGGAAGAUUCUAAAGAUAGCAAGAACAUUUUGCAAGAAAACUGUCAUGUCUUCUUUCUCCAUAAGAUAAUUGUUUUGCCUUCUUUGAAGAUGUUUAAUUAGAGGAUUUCC